RNAcentral lists this ribosomal RNA (193 nucleotides) under uncultured bacterium. RNAcentral's name for it is "partial 16S ribosomal RNA". It matches the Rfam family "Bacterial small subunit ribosomal RNA", at positions 339 to 524 of the family's 1533-position model. The record is from RNAcentral.
CUACGGGAGGCAGCAGUGGGGAAUUUUGGACAAUGGGCGAAAGCCUGAUCCAGCAAUGCCGCGUGCAGGAUGAAGGCCUUCGGGUUGUAAACUGCUUUUGUACGGAACGAAAAAGCUCCUUCUAAUACAGGGGGCCCAUGACGGUACCGUAAGAAUAAGCACCGGCUAACUACGUGCCAGCAGCCGCGGUAAU